GACGAACGCUGGCGGCGCGCCUAACACAUGCAAGUCGAACGAGCGAGAGGAGGUUUACUUUCUCAAGCGAGUGGCGAACGGGUGAGUAACGCGUGAGGAACCUGCCUCAAAGAGGGGGACAACAGUUGGAAACGACUGCUAAUACCGCAUAAGCCCACGGCUCGGCAUCGAGCAGAGGGAAAAGGAGCAAUCCGCUUUGAGAUGGCCUCGCGUCCGAUUAGCUAGUUGGUGAGGUAAUGGCCCACCAAGGCGACGAUCGGUAGCCGGACUGAGAGGUUGAACGGCCACAUUGGGACUGAGACACGGCCCAGACUCCUACGGGAGGCAGCAGUGGGGAAUAUUGCACAAUGGGGGAAACCCUGAUGCAGCGACGCCGCGUGGAGGAAGAAGGUCUUCGGAUUGUAAACUCCUGUUGUUGAGGAAGAUAAUGACGGUACUCAACAAGGAAGUGACGGCUAACUACGUGCCAGCAGCCGCGGUAAAACGUAGGUCACAAGCGUUGUCCGGAAUUACUGGGUGUAAAGGGAGCGCAGGCGGGAAGACAAGUUGGAAGUGAAAUCCAUGGGCUCAACCCAUGAACUGCUUUCAAAACUGUUUUUCUUGAGUAGUGCAGAGGUAGGCGGAAUUCCCGGUGUAGCGGUGGAAUGCGUAGAUAUCGGGAGGAACACCAGUGGCGAAGGCGGCCUACUGGGCACCAACUGACGCUGAGGCUCGAAAGUGUGGGUAGCAAACAGGAUUAGAUACCCUGGUAGUCCACACUGUAAACGAUGAUUACUAGGUGUUGGAGGAUUGACCCCUUCAGUGCCGCAGUUAACACAAUAAGUAAUCCACCUGGGGAGUACGACCGCAAGGUUGAAACUCAAAGGAAUUGACGGGGGCCCGCACAAGCAGUGGAGUAUGUGGUUUAAUUCGACGCAACGCGAAGAACCUUACCAAGUCUUGACAUCCUGCGACGCACAUAGAAAUAUGUGUUUCCUUCGGGACGCAGAGACAGGUGGUGCAUGGUUGUCGUCAGCUCGUGUCGUGAGAUGUUGGGUUAAGUCCCGCAACGAGCGCAACCCUUAUGGUCAGUUACUACGCAAGAGGACUCUGGCCAGACUGCCGUUGACAAAACGGAGGAAGGUGGGGAUGACGUCAAAUCAUCAUGCCCUUUAUGACUUGGGCUACACACGUACUACAAUGGCGUUAAACAAAGAGAAGCAAGACCGCGAGGUGGAGCAAAACUCAGAAACAACGUCCCAGUUCGGACUGCAGGCUGCAACUCGCCUGCACGAAGUCGGAAUUGCUAGUAAUCGCAGAUCAGCAUGCUGCGGUGAAUACGUUCCCGGGCCU
This 1332-nucleotide ribosomal RNA is filed under the name uncultured bacterium. RNAcentral's name for it is "bacterial SSU rRNA". It matches the Rfam family "Bacterial small subunit ribosomal RNA", at positions 28 to 1381 of the family's 1533-position model. The record is from RNAcentral.